RNAcentral lists this ribosomal RNA (464 nucleotides) under uncultured bacterium. RNAcentral's name for it is "bacterial SSU rRNA". It matches the Rfam family "Bacterial small subunit ribosomal RNA", at positions 26 to 507 of the family's 1533-position model. The record is from RNAcentral.
AGGACGAACGCUGGCGGCGUGCUUAACACAUGCAAGUCGAACGGUAAGGCCCUUCGGGGUACACGAGUGGCGAACGGGUGAGUAACACGUGGGUGAUCUGCCCUGCACUUCGGGAUAAGCCUGGGAAACUGGGUCUAAUACCGGAUAGGACCAUGGACUUCACGGUUUGUGGUGGAAAGCUUUUGCGGUGUGGGAUGGGCCCGCGGCCUAUCAGCUUGUUGGUGGGGUAAUGGCCUACCAAGGCGACGACGGGUAGCCGGCCUGAGAGGGUGUCCGGCCACACUGGGACUGAGAUACGGCCCAGACUCCUACGGGCGGCAGCAGUGGGGAAUAUUGCACAAUGGGCGCAAGCCUGAUGCAGCGACGCCGCGUGAGGGAUGACGGCCUUCGGGUUGUAAACCUCUUUCAAUAGGGACGAAGCGCAAGUGACGGUACCUAUAGAAGAAGCACCGGCCAACUACGUG